This 17-nucleotide transfer RNA is filed under the name Arostrilepis macrocirrosa. Its description in RNAcentral is "partial tRNA-Asn". Lineage: Eukaryota; Metazoa; Platyhelminthes; Cestoda; Cyclophyllidea; Hymenolepididae. The record is from RNAcentral.
GUAUUUGUGUCUAUAUA